Molecule: ribosomal RNA, 1068 nt
Filed under: Triticum aestivum (bread wheat)
Lineage: Eukaryota; Viridiplantae; Streptophyta; Magnoliopsida; Poales; Poaceae
Description: partial small subunit ribosomal RNA
Source: RNAcentral
AUGAGGAGCAAGCGGCUGUGCCUGUGCGCUGCCGUCUGCUGGCUCCUCCUCGUACCACUCUUGGGCCCGUUCUCCGCGGCCGGGCGAUACGAUUCCAUCUUCAGCUUCGGCGGCUCCUCCUCCGACACCGGCAACAACCUCGUCGUCUUCCCCUCCAGCGCCCGCGCCGACUACGUCCUGCGCCCGCCCUACGGCUCCACCUUCUUCGGCCGCCCCACCGGCCGCUGCUCCGACGGCCGCCUCGUCGUCGAUUUCAUCGCGCAACACCUGGGCCUGCCGUUCGUCCCGCCGUCGCUGGCGCACAACGGAAGCUUCCGCCAUGGCGCCAACUUCGCCGUCAGCGGCUCCACCGCUCUCGACGCCGCUUUCUUCCGCCGCCUGCUUCCCCACACCAGGAAGCCUCUCAACACCAGCCUGGGCGUGCAGCUGCGGUGGUUCGAGUCUCUCAAGCCUUCGCUCUGCGGCACAACCCAAGAGUGCGAAACGUUCUUCAGCAGAUCGCUCUUCGUCGUGGGGGAAUUCGGGACCAAUGAUUACGGCAUCUUCGUCGAGAACGGCGCGGCAGGGAUGGCGCUAGUUCCAGAUGUCGUCGGUGCCAUCUCCAUGGCCGUCGAGAGGCUCAUCAAGCACGGGGCGACGAGUUUAGUGGUGCCUGGGGUGAUCCCGUUGGGAUGCGUCCCCAAGAUCCUCACCGGCGACUAUUGCCUCCAAGAUUACAACAAGCUAGCGACGCACCACAACUUGCUGCUGCAGGAGGCCCUGGACAAGCUCCGGGUCAGGCACCCCGGCACCACCAUCGUCUAUGCCGACCAAUUCGGCCCCGUCAUGGACAUGAUGGAGUCGCCUGCCAAGUUCGGUCUUGAAGAGGACGCUCUUCUUACCCCGUGUUGUGGAGGGCCCGGCACGCUUCUCUGUGGUGACGACGGUGGAAACCUAUGCCAGAACCCGUCGUCUCGCCUUUUCUGGGACGGUGUCCACCUCACGGAGGCAGCUUACCACUACAUGGCUCACCUCUUGCUUCUCAGCAUAGACGACACCACUGUAAGAGGGGCCAGCUACAGUUUGUAA